This 86-nucleotide transfer RNA is filed under the name Clostridiales bacterium. RNAcentral's name for it is "tRNA-Leu". It matches the Rfam family "tRNA". From Rfam's summary of the family: Transfer RNA (tRNA) molecules are approximately 80 nucleotides in length. Their secondary structure includes four short double-helical elements and three loops (D, anti-codon, and T loops). RNAcentral also lists the same sequence under 2 other names. Lineage: Bacteria; Bacillati; Bacillota; Clostridia; Eubacteriales. The record is from RNAcentral.
GCGGGUGUGCUGGAAUUGGCAGACAGGUACGGUUGAGGGCCGUAUGUCUAACCGACGUAUGGGUUCAAGUCCCAUCACCCGCACCA